Molecule: long non-coding RNA, 1189 nt
Organism: Pleuronectes platessa (European plaice)
Lineage: Eukaryota; Metazoa; Chordata; Actinopteri; Pleuronectiformes; Pleuronectidae
Exons: 2
Source: RefSeq, a predicted model, not a curated record
GGAAGCCGGAGCCAGCAACUAAUCAAAACGUCUCUCAGACAUUUACAGAGCAAUGUAAACUGCACAAUUUUUUUUUGUGGGGGGGGGGGGGUUGCUGUGAAUCAGGUUUGCUGGUGUUUCUGAGCCGAGCGUUUGUUGCUCCCAGCUGUUUUUGGCGAGGACGACUAGGUUCAGCAUUUCUGUGUUUUCACUCUGCCCUCGCUUUUUGCAGUUUUUCCCUCUGUACUCAGGAGGAAGCUUGUGAGUGUGCGUGAUUUCUUCCAGGAGGUCAAACUGUGGCGUGUCAACUCUGACUCCAUGUGACCGUCUCUGUGUGCUCGGUGAUAUUGCUGCGAUGGGUUCAGUCGAUGCUGCGUUCAGGGCCACAUCCUUUGGAGGCUGCAUUCGAAGACUGAUUGCAUAACAGCAACAUGACUAGACUGUCCCAUUUCUGAGGCUCCUUCAAACGCGGCUGACAAAUGUGUCCAUACAUCCCAGACAAACGAUGACUUCAACUGGUGGAUCCAUCCCAGCCCAACAAAUCUAUGAAUCCCGGGAUUCAUUGCACCUCAAUGACAAAACAUUUUUCAAAGAGGGAAUGGCGCUGACAAGCAGUUAGACAUCCAAUGUCAACUGAACUGAACGGCUAACGUUACACAUGGUAAAAGGGACACACAGCUAAUAAGGCGAAUAUACGUAUUAAAGAUUUAUUGUGUGGAAUUUAGUGGCAUCUAGUGGUGAAGGUGAAUAGUGUUACUAAGUGAGCACCCCUUCACCCCAAACUCCCCGUCCAAGGGUGAAGAAAGUAUGGUGGCCUUUUGGUAAAGUAAGAACGCAAAGGAGAAUGUUUAGAGCCAGUGUUAGGUUUGUCCAUUCUGAGCUUCUGUAGAAACAUGGAGGUGCAACAAGGCAGACUCCAUGCAAGAGGACCGGCUGCUGAUGUAGAAAUAAAGGGAUCAUUCAAAGGUAAUGAAAACAGUGAUUCGUUUUAUGUGAUUAUUCACUAAUACAAACUUAAAUGUGAAUAUUAUUUUCCAUUUCCAUAUCCAAAGAACCUCCUAAAUUGUACCAGAACUUAUCUAUAAUGGAUUCCCCAUGGUACAUUAUAAAAAUUUGCAGAGAUUGAUUUUUUGUGUGCAAAUUAUGUGGUUUGACAUUUUCAGCAAGUACAAACACUAUAUGUUUUGAAAAAUACAAAUAUUGGAUUAAA